CUUGAAGCAGAAACAACGAAACAAGAAAUCCACGUUUGCCGCCAUUGACAUUUGAAAACAUUUUUAUUUGGUCAAUGGUUUUAAAUACAAAAAAACUAUGCAUCCAGUAUAUAAUGCCUUAUGUAUUUCCAUCGUGUAUUUAACAUUAGCAGGCCAAAACUCGGAGUCUAAGGUUAUGUACUCAAAUAUAAUGUGCCAGAUACCAACCAAGUUUAAAUACGUCUUCUACAGAGCGAUAUUCGUGGAGAAACUGAUCUACUUGCCCUGCGAGGACGAGGUGGUCAUGCGAGGGACAAUCAACUACUCAAUCAUCGCUCCGUGCAUGAGGAACAAGAGCGUGACGUUUUACGGCGAGAAGAAAGGGGUCGGCACCAAGGGGGCGAGUAUCAUAGCCAUUACGACAUACUGUUUAUUGCGCUAGGACUGAGAGUGGUAACAUAAGGGUGGUAACGUCCUCUAACAAGACUGCUCUGUUCCUGAUCACCCGUGAAGGGAAGAACGAAACGGAGACGUUUACUUGCACAGUGGACGCCAAAAUAGUCGAUGGUUACACAGUCCUUUUGAAAUUCGGACCCCAGUACGGUUUAAGCCUUGGACGUCUGUUUAUUAGGCCUCCUGCGAAUGAAACCAACAAGUGCCGAACACGGUUCCAAAGAAGCUCCGAGGUGAAAAUUACAAACUGUGGCUUCUACAUCUACCUGCUACUGAUAUCAGCCUUGCUUUUGAUGAGUGGUACCAUCUCCAUAUCUGAUCUCUAAGAUAGGCUGACCUCGAUGUGAGCCGUGCUCUCCAGACUCGCUAAAUGUUAAUGUUACUUUCAUCAUAUCUGUUCUCAAAGAAAAACUGACUAUCACGUGAACCAAACUUCAUUGGCACAAAGUGAACUUGUGGAACAUAAUAUGACAUCCGUCUUAGAGGAAUGUAAAAACAUCUUGCUGACAUAAAAAAAAAAAAAUUCAUACACAUUCUAUCUA
Molecule: RNA transcript, 974 nt
Organism: Biomphalaria glabrata
Lineage: Eukaryota; Metazoa; Mollusca; Gastropoda; Planorbidae
Exons: 6
Source: RefSeq, a predicted model, not a curated record